CUGAGUUCACCUCUUUCCUUCCUCUAUCUGUGAGUUUUCUGAGAGUAUCUCAUAUCUAAAACUCUUUCUCCUACUUCUCAUCUUUGGAAAGAGUCCAAAUCAAGAAGAAGGAGGCAUCUGAUCGACCAUUGAAGAAGGAUCAACACAGUACUAGCAUACUGUGCUGAUUUCCUGGACCAAGACUUCUGAUCAUGAUUCGUGAGCUCGUGUGGAUGACUCCUAGAGGUCGGAUGCAUGUGCGG
RNAcentral lists this long non-coding RNA (242 nucleotides) under Elaeis guineensis (African oil palm). RNAcentral describes it as "long non-coding RNA (EGUI_LNC069460)". The record is from RNAcentral. Lineage: Eukaryota; Viridiplantae; Streptophyta; Magnoliopsida; Arecales; Arecaceae.